This 440-nucleotide ribosomal RNA is filed under the name uncultured bacterium. RNAcentral describes it as "partial 16S ribosomal RNA". It matches the Rfam family "Bacterial small subunit ribosomal RNA", at positions 338 to 795 of the family's 1533-position model. The record is from RNAcentral.
CCUACGGGUGGCAGCAGUAGGGAAUUUUGCGCAAUGGGCGAAAGCCUGACGCAGCAACGCCGCGUGAUCGAGACGCCCUUCGGGGUGUAAAGAUCCGUCAGUGGGGGCGAAACUUGACGGUACCCACAGAGGAAGAACCGGCUAAUUCCGUGCCAGCAGCCGCGGUAAUACGAGGGGUGCAAGCGUUGUCCGGAUUCAUUGGGGGUAAAGAGGUCGAGGGCGGCAAGUAAGGUCUGAUGGUAAAAGCUGAGGCUCAACUUCUGUACGGCACUGGAUACUUGCAGGCUUGAAUGCGGUAGAGGUAAGUGGAAUUCCUGGUGUAGCGGUGGAAUGCUUAGAUAUCAGGAGGAACAUCAGUGGCGUAGGCGCUUUUCUGGGCCGUAAUUGACGCUGAGGAACGAAAGCCAGGGUAGCAAAUGGGAUUAGAUACCCUUGUAGUC